Molecule: long non-coding RNA, 1030 nt
Organism: Mus musculus (house mouse)
Lineage: Eukaryota; Metazoa; Chordata; Mammalia; Rodentia; Muridae
Product: predicted gene, 33590
Exons: 4
Source: RefSeq, a predicted model, not a curated record
CAGAGGCAGGAUGGAGACUGGCCGGAAAACCCCAUUCUUUCCAUCACAGCCUUCAUAGACCUGUUCAGAGGGCUUUCCCUUCCCAUCAUCCCAUGCGUUUGCCUCCAGGGAAGACGGUUUCCUCUGGAAGAGGACCUGAAAGUAGAGGACUGGGAUGCGUGUCCCAGUGCACGUCAGAGACCUGCGUCAGGACAGUUGCCUGUUGUUCACAGAGUGGCUUUAGCAGGGAUGGGGAUGAUACAGCUCUGAGUGGUUUCCUGCCAGACACCGAACUUCAUACAGGAUUAAAAGCAUGUACGGCCACACCCCGAUUUGUAUCUGGAUCUGACCUCAAGUCAAAGUGUGCAGAUCAUCUAGAAGACUGAGGCUUGCUUCUUGACGUGUUCAUGAGGGCAUUUCAAAAGGGCUGAAAAUGUGGCUGGGAUCCUACGAGAAUCCGAUGAAGUCGAACAAGACAGCGAGCUGAAGACCAGCAUCCGGCCUUUCCUGGCCCAGGAUGACAGGAAUUGUUCUGCUGUAGCUCAUUUUCCCUGCCCAGAUGGACAGAUCCUCUGGAAGUGUGGGCUGACACUAAUCUGCCCCCAUUAAGGUGUUGGCCACAAUACACUUAAGGUAUUGUGUGUAUAAAGUAUAUACAGCAACACAAAAGUAACUAAUUCACUUAUGUGCUGGGUUUUUAAUAGUCACUUGGGACUCCAUUGAAACUAAAGAGCAAAAGAAAUAAUACAACUGAAGCCUCACUGGCUAUACAGAGAUAUGGUGAGACAGAUUAGGAGAGGGCCCAGCAAGCAAGACAGCUUAGGGCUAUCUGGGGGAAAGACCCAUUCACGUCAGUGCCAUGGUCAGAACAUUUACAAUGGGCAUUAUGCUCUGACCACACAUUCUGGUCUUGUUUAGUGAUCCUCUGUCCUUAUUUAAUGAUUCUUUGGUGGCAUUUGCCAUCUAGGAUAAAUGCUUGGCCACCUCUGGGCAAGUUGUUUGUUUUGCAAAUUACAACAGUCUUUCUGAUUUGUUGUUUAAAUUCCAUGAA